This 4009-nucleotide long non-coding RNA is filed under the name Nicotiana tabacum (common tobacco). Its description in RNAcentral is "long non-coding RNA (NTAB_LNC000431)". Lineage: Eukaryota; Viridiplantae; Streptophyta; Magnoliopsida; Solanales; Solanaceae. The record is from RNAcentral.
ACAUGUCCAAAUCAUACUGAUCAAAUAGGCAACUCCAGAGCAAGUGGAGUGCAAAAACACCUUUUGCUGAGCUGAUAGCCUACUAGAAGGAAUGUCAACCUAUCUAUCGAAACCUGCGGGCAUGAAACGCAGCGUCCCCAAGCAAAAGGGACGUCAGUACGAAUAAAGUACCGAGUAUGUAAGGUAGGAAAGCAUAAACAAGAACAGUAAUGUAAAUGAGAGAUAGAGGAGAUACAACCUGUAACAUCUGAGUGCCUCUGGGGGCUACUGACAUAAAAUGCAUAAUACAUAUAUAUACAUAAACUUUUAAAAAUAUAUGCCUUUGUGGGCAUCAUCAUCAUCAUAUUGUACCCGACCUAAAAGAGGACUCGGUAAAAAUGUACCCAGCCAUCAUAAGGGUCGGUAGAAUCAUACCCGGCCAUGUGGAGCUCGUUAAACCCAACUGAUCAGUGUUUGCACAAUAGGUUCAGUACCCGACACGGUAGAAUAAAAUAGAUAUUAUAUAUAAUGCAUGGUAAACUGAUGGAAUCACGUUCUAAUCCUUUCGGAGUGAUGUAAGGUCGCUGCACCUUCGAUUAACAUUAUAGACAUCCAUACCCUCAAUGUGAACCUCAGUAGGAUUCAAGGAUCAUACACACUUUCAUAGAAUAACUUUAUAAGGAAAGAAUAACAUGGACAACCUUAGUUCCUAGAAGUAGAUGCAUUAUGAAUUAGCGUUUCGUUUAUGUUCAUUCCACUUUAGAUCAUGCGAAAAGAAAGAAGGAAGUGCCUAAACAUACCUUAACUCAAUUGAGUCCUUAAUACCUUCCAAGUAAUUCUUCAAACAAUUCAACUCAAUCUACUAUAGCAUGAGGAGAUUCAAAAGCAGUAUUGAGUAAAGGCUAUGUCCCCAACUUAAACUAGUAGCUCGUUUAUGUAAAUUUGGACAGCAUCUCCCCUGUAGCAAGAGAUUCCUCCAAUACCAUAUACCAACAAAAAUGACCGGAGCAAUCCAUCAAUACAUAAUUAUCAAUAACAAGACACCAUAUAACAACAACAAGUCACAACUACUUCACGACGAGCGGCAAGCUCCAAUUGGAAUCUGUAUACCCCUUAUCACCCCUUAUAGACUUCUUACUGCAACUUAACAGUAUCAUUAACAUGAUAAUAAAGUCAUUCAUUGACUCCAUCCUUAUACCACAUAUUUAUGACAAAGGAAACAAUCCACAACUCCAACUAUCUUCAGUUAGAAUCUUUAUUUACUAGUUCAUGUAUAGUCCAUCCAUUUAACUUAAUAAAUAUCAGUAUAACCUUAAGAACAUGCAACAACACAAUACACAUACCACCUACAGUAACUUCAAGUGAAAAUUCAAGUUAUAUUUAGCUUACAACAGCCCUCAAUGGCAAAACAACAUCAUAGAAGUGACUUAAGCUAAUCCAAGUAGUAUCUUGUAGUUUAUCUUCCUAACAACUUACCCAACAUACAAGCAAGAUUAAUAACAAUUAGUAGGCUAUUAUACUAACAUUAGCCAGUAGAAAAAACUUGAAAUUUCAGCCAAACACACCCCACAACUAUCCUCAAUGACAACACAACCUCAAAGAGGUGUUGUUCUUCACUAUUUGAUGUUGAAAUAUGGUGUAAUCCAUUUGCAAGACUUGAAAUAACCUAGGGUUGAUAUUAAAACCUUGGGAGAGUAUUUUAAAGAACUUAAACCACUAUAAAAAAUCUCCCACUCGAGCUGGAACCACCCAAAAAUCAGCAACAAGAAGAAGAAGAAGAAGAAGAAACUUACUAGUGCGACGGGAUUUCCGACACUUGAUUUGAGUUGUUUGCCUCUGUUUGGAUCUUAGAUCAUGAGAGAACCUUGAGAGAGUGUUUUUAGGUGUCUAGGGUCUGAAUAUACUGUAAAAGCAUAAGUUAAAAUGGGUUGAGGCUUCUUAUAUAUAUCCAUACUAGUGAGGUUAUGCCCGGGCUAAGCCCGGGCCCAAUGGCUAGAAGAAGCUUCACAUUAGAAAAUUCAUGAUUAUUUUUAUUUUCGUCGAAAUUCACAAAAGGAAUUGCAGAAGCAACAAUUACAUGUGGAGUCUGAACCAAAAUGUGACAACAUUAAAAUUUAUUAGGAGGUAUUUGUUAGCUUAACACAUAAUUCAAAUUGCAAAGAACUUGUUAUGUUUUUAAAUUUUAGCUACAAUGAAAUAUAUUGUAGCUAUUUUAUCUUUCUUCUGAAUCAAGUAUUUGAGAAGACUUGAUUUAACGUGUACUGCAGAAGCAUAGUAUGUAAUGUUAUUGUCACUGAACCUAAACUUUAACUAUGCACAAGAGAUCACCAACAAAAUCUUUGUUCCUAUACAUCAUAUAACUUUAACUAUGCAUAAGAGAUCACCAUUCACCAACAAAAUUUUUGUUCCUAUACAUCAUAGAACUGCUUGAAAUUUCUCUCUAUGUGUCAAGCCAGCUACUAAACAACUUUGGUUUUCUUCAUUUUCCUGCGAGUGUUAGAGCUGAUAGGCUUUUGUUGAAUUGUGCACAUUCUUAUCUAAGAGCGAAACAUAAAUAAAGGAGCAUUAGCGUUACUAUGUUUUAAGCAGGGAAACAUGAAACUUAUUAGUAACUGGAACAAAUGAUAAGAUAGAACAAUGAGUAAUGUUGUGGACCCACAACGUCACUUCAAUAAGCCUAACAUAAUACCAAAAAGAAAGGAUCUUUUUCUAUGUGAUUUUGAGCGCAAUUAAUAUCGUUCACUAUUGUGAUAAAACUGACGUAUCUAAACUAUAUACUGAAAUCCCAAAACACAAUCAACAGAAAACUAUAAUAGAAAAAGAAACAGACCAAUGUAUGAAUUGCCCAGAUAAAAUAGUAGCAAGUAGAUGAAAAGAACCAUUUCUGAAGAUUUCAGGACUCUGAAAGAACAGAGGAAAAAGAUACACUUAUUAGGCCUAUGUAAUAAUAACUCAAAACAAAAUAGAUCUCUGAGUAGUAAGAUGGAAUCACUUGGCCGGAUUAAAUAUACAAAUUUUGAAUAAUGACAUUUCAAGUACUUUAUUGUCACGACCCAAACUGGAGGGCCAUGACUAGCACCAGACCAUACUUGUCGAGCACCAACGUACAUUUCAUCUAACCUUCAUUAUUAUCUUUUAGGGCUGACGAGAUCAAUAUAAAUGGUAGACCUGGAUCAUGGACAACAAACAAUAAAAUAUGACGGCAUGAACAUACAUAGCAGGGGAUGACCAGAAAAUCAAGAAACUACAUAUAAGGUAUGAGCUACCACGCUACCAUGAAAGACUAUAUAAUAAAAACCAGUCGACAAGGCAUACCAAACUAUACAUGAGUCGACACUUGUCUAUGAGCCUUUAAAUGAACAUAAGUGCUGCAACAUAGCCGAAACAGGGCCCCAACAUACCCAUAAUCUCUAUAACAAAAUUCAUACCAAGACCAAGGCAAGUUCGGAGAAGGGAUCUCGCCAAUCACCACUGAACUGGACAGCCUACUAUGGUGGGGGAGCUGCACCUCCCUGUCUAUCAGGACCUGCAGCACAACAUGCAGCAUCCACAAAUAAAAGGACGUCAGUACAAAUAAGGUACUGAGUAUGUAAGGAAGGGAACCAUAAAUACGAUCAGUAAUGUAAGCAAGGAUAGAGAAUAUACAACCUGUAACAUCUUAGUACCUCUGAGGGCUACUGACAUGAAAUGCAUGAUACAUAUGAAUAAAUACAUAAACCUUUAAAACAUUCGCCUUUGUGGGCAUCAUCAUCAUCAUAUCGUACCCGGCCAUAAUAGGCUCGGUAAAAAACGUACCCGGCCAUCAUAAGGCUCGGUAGAAUCGUACCCGGCCACGUGGAGCUCGGUAAAACCCAACUGAUCAGUGGUUGCACAAUAGGUGCCGUACCCGGCCAACUAUAGCGUGGCUCGGUAGAGUAAAAUAGAUACAUAUAUAUAAUGCAUGCUCGACUCAUAGAAUCACAUUCUAAACCUUUCGGAGUGACGUAAGGUCGGUAUCCUCUGUACACGUUAUUAGGACUAACUCUUCACU